UACUCUGACUCCAUCUCCGCUAGUAGCUAGCUAACUUUGGUGUUUAAUUCUUUGCAUGGUACUAUAGUUUAAUACACAUAAUUGUGUUGUACAACAAUUAUUCAAUAAAAACUUUAUGGUGACAGCAUUUUUGCAACUCACUUGCAUAUAUCCUGCAAAGUUAGCCAGAGAAAAGAAAUGACUUUUCUAUAAUUAAUAAUAUAACAUUCUGACAUGCUUUUAAAUAUAAUAAAAUUAUUAAAUAUUAGCCCGUUGCAAUAAAGAGAGUAACCACCAAAUUAAUUUCUAGGGUCUGUUCAUCAGGAAGGAAAAUGAAACGCCGUAGUUUUCUUACUUAUUUUCUUAGCGUUUGAUACGUAAGCAAGAAAUAUUAUUUUUAAAAUAUUUGUGUAUAAUCUAAACAAAUAUUCUGAGAAUUGAUCGGGCGGCAAUUAGGGGUGUAGGUGGUAGGGAUGGGGCUAUGGGGGUAAAUGUGAAGAGACAAUCAACAUAAAAUGUGACUUAUGGAACUUGUUUUCUCUAUUUUCAUCAGAAAAGUUAUUUUCCUUAACUUGUUUUCCUAAAGAAUUCAUUUUCCAAAAAUUUCGACCAACCAAUAUAAAAAAAUUGAAAAAAUAUUUUUUUUCUCAUACCAAACAACCCUUAUUAAUCCUCUUCAAUUCCCUUUAUAUGAGGGGGAAACAAUAGUAUCAUAGAUAUCAUAAAAUUUGACUUUUUAUAUACAAUGUGAUUAUCCGAUAAUUUCUUUUUAGAUUAAUGUAACUCCGACCCCUCUAGCUCCACCCCUAUAAUUAUGCAAUAUAAUUAGAAAAGCAAAAUGAACUAAAAAAAAGUAUGUUACAUAGUUAAUAUUUUUUCUCAAUUCAACUCAAUACAAUACAAACUUUAAUUUGGGCAUAGUAAAUCUUUAUGAUAUGCAUUAAUUUAGUUGAUAACCUAGUAAAAAUGAUAAUUGAUCUACUAUACAUUAUAAGUUAAAAUUUGCUCAUAGUAUAAAUAAAUCUUUACACUACCAACUAGUAAUAAUUUCACCCCAAAAAUUAAUUGUUGUUACUAUACCUUCCUCAAACAUUUAUGAAAGUUUGAGUGUUUUAACAAAAAAAAAAACCUAUUUGUAUAUAAAUAAUAAUGUAAUCAAAGUAGUACUCUCAUAUCUUUUUAAAUUUCACAGAGCAACCAUCCCUUAUUGUCUGGCCUAUUUAAAUAGCCAUAGUGUACCCUAGCUAGCUACCCCACUAUUUACCUAUAUAUACAUACAUUAUGGGCUACACAUUUCAAACCUAAGUUGCUCAGACUCUUUCAAAAUAUAUUACUUUUGAAGGAUUUGAAACGUAUUUCGUAACAUUUUUAAAGAGUCUGAAUAACAUAAAUGCAAAUAUAUAUACAUGUAUAGUAAUUUAAACUACUUCUCCUAUAAUUUGUUAUGAAUUGCUUAACUAUCACUGGUAUGUUGAUAGCAACCCCUUUUACCCCCACCCUACAUACACACACACUCAAAAAAAAAACAUGUAUACGAUUUCUUUUUACUAUAAGAUUGAAACAAUGCUUAAUUAGUUAAGAUGAUUAAUUAGUAGAUAUUAGAAUCUAAAUUAUCAUUAAGCACUAUGGAAUAAUCAGUUUACACCUAGUAAUAUAUAUAUAUAUAUAUAUACUAGUUGAAUAACUCUGGAUUUCUUCCUUUUUUUUUAUCUCUUUAGUGAAAAUUUUAACUUGAUUAUUCUCAUGAAUUGGUCAAUUAUAAACAAAUGACAAAUUUUAAGUACAUUAGGUUAAUACUCACAUUUUUAUAGAAUAUUAUCACCAAACAGAAAGAAAAAAAGAAGCAGCAGCAGCAACAACACCAUUAAUUAUGACUUUUUUUUUUAGAUAAAUUUAUUUAUAUCUUUAAUCAGUAGUAUUAUCAAAAUCUAAGAGUCUUACUGCCUAACAUAUAUUCUGAAUUUUGAUGACAAAGGGAGUCCACAAUCGAUAUUUUUUGAGCGCACACAUGAUAAAUCUGUUUUAAUAUAAUGGCUCACAAAUCACACUAGAGACGUAAAUUAUAUCAUGCAAAUUUCGUGCGAUAAAUUUAAUUGAGAAAAUAUGCAAGAGAUUUCAAAUCUCACAAUUUAGAAAGGUGUCCUGCUCAAUCAAUUCGACCACCUUACGUAUGUUUAUUAUAUAUACUAGUUUUUUGACACGUGCGUUGCACGUGAUUACGAAUUUCAAAAAUAUAUGUUAUAGUAAAUAGUAGUGCUUAUUUAAGCGAAGAUUUGAAUAAUAAGCUUAGCAAAAAAUAAUAUUGCAGAUUCUUUUAUGAAUGUUCAAUGUGGAUCGUCAUAUAUAUAUCUUAUUCAUGCAAAGCUAUGAAGAUGGUCAAUGAAAAUUUUUAUUAGUUAAAUGUAAUUAUGUAUAUAUUUAUUUUAAUUUGAUGAAGUUUAUCUAAUUAGUCUUAUCUCACUAAUAUUACCUUAUAGACAAUAUUUGUUUUGUAUUUUUCUUGUCAUCUAACCAGAUGUGCUUUGCAUGUGUAUUCUACGUUAAAUUGUGUAGAUGUCAUAUGAACAUGUGAAGAGAACAACUACAUUUUAUAUAUUCACAUAUUUUCAAAUUUGUUGUGAGUUUUUUUUUGUUUAAAAAAAGAACUCGAAACAUUUUAAAAUAAUAUAUUUUGAAGUUAGAAGAUUUCGUUAACUUGAUAAUACAUUUGUGACAUAUAUAAAUAAAUAAUAAAAAUUAAACUAAUACAAACUUCACUCUUUGGAAAAAAUCACAACUCAUCGAAAAAUCACAACCCUUUGAAAAAAGUCAUAACUUAUCGGAAAAGUCACAACUCAUCGAAAAAGUCACAACCUAAGUUAGAGAUAUUAUAGUAAUUUAACAUUCAAGUCAGGAGUUCAUGCUUUUAAAGUAAUAUAUAUAUCCUUUUUCAUAAAUGUCAAUUUAUAUAACUUAAAAUCUUUGUGUUAAAACUGAAUUGAGAAUUGAGAAUUUUUGUCUUUUUAGGUGUUUUUUAUAUCUUUAAAUGGUAAGUGAGAAGGACAAGGGGUGUGGUUAAAAGGAUUAUUAAUUUUUUUGUCUCAUAUAUAGUAACAAAAUUUUAACCUUUUAUUACCCAAAAAUAAAUAAAAUUUAAUUUUUUUCCCCACUGAAAUGUAUGAGAGAGAGCAAAAACAAAAGGGCAAACAAGAUGAAUUUAUAUCAAUAAUUGAUGAAAGCCAGGGAAUCUUCUCUGCCAUUUUUUUCACUAUGUUUUCAUCACUUUGAUUUUUAAAAAAGUCAAGCAAAUCAGGAAAAAUAUAUAUUUUUAAAAUGGAAAAAAAUUAUAAAUGAAAGAAAAUGUAAUUUCCAUUAAAUAAGUGUACAAAAUGAGAAAAAUCCAAAAGUUUCUCCUUUCCCUUUUCAAGAAACAAUAAACCAAAAAAAGGGGAAAAAUUAAAGCCUUCCAUGGUUUAAAAAAUGUGGAUAUGAUUUUUAGUGGCAAAGACAGAAUUUUUCACCAAACAAUUUGAAUUUAUUCUUUAUAUAUAUAAUGUAAUUUUUCCAGGAUAUUUAUCACAGCUAAUUUUGGGAAAUUAAUUUCAAAACUCCUAAUUUAAGUGAUAGAAGUAGAAUUUUCACCGAUAGAGCUCAUCAUUUACUCUCCAUGUAUAAUUUUAAACUGACACAUAUUAUUUAAUGUAAUUUUCAGACGAAAGGGCAUCUGCUCCGGCUGAUUUUUCAAAACUAAUUUCAGAAGUCUUAAAAACCAUAAUUCUAUAUAAAGGUGUAUAAUAGGUAAUUAAUUCAGAGAAUUCACACUAUUAAGUAUGCCAAGUAAUUGAAUUAUCUAACUCAUGACCAAUUUAAAAGUGAAUUUAAUUAAAUAAAUAAAAACUAUAUAUUUAAAAAAAAAUCAAGAAUUUACCAUGAAAAUUUGGCUUGAUAAUCUUCAAGUGUACUCCAUAGGAAGGAAAAUGUAAAAAAUAAGUCCAAAGCUUGCCAUCUUUUCCCACAGCUUUCUUGGACUUUCAUAGCUUCAAAAAUUUCAUCUCAAAAUUAUCAAUUUAGAGAUCAAAAUUUAGCAAGAAGAAGUUCAAGAAAGCUGUGGAAAAGCAUGACUAGGACUUAGUCAUCGUCAUCGAUCAACAACCAGCGUAAAACUUGUCAAUUCUUAAAGUUUUAAUAUAAGGAAAAAUUGAACAAGUUUUUUUAAAAAAAGAUAAGAAUUUGAGAAAAAUAGUUGAUUUGUGAGAAGAGAGAAGAGUUAAAGACAUAGGCCAUAUAGAUAUAGAGAAUGAAACAAAUUAAUGUGUUGGAUGGACC
This 4284-nucleotide long non-coding RNA is filed under the name Solanum tuberosum (potato). RNAcentral describes it as "long non-coding RNA (STUB_LNC007003)". Lineage: Eukaryota; Viridiplantae; Streptophyta; Magnoliopsida; Solanales; Solanaceae. The record is from RNAcentral.